GAGUUUGAUCCUGGCUCAGAUUGAACGCUGGCGGCAGGCCUAACACAUGCAAGUCGAACGGUAACAGGAAGCAGCUUGCUGCUUCGCUGACGAGUGGCGGACGGGUGAGUAAUGUCUGGGAAGCUGCCUGAUGGAGGGGGAUAACUACUGGAAACGGUAGCUAAUACCGCAUAAUGUCGCAAGACCAAAGAGGGGGACCUUCGGGCCUCUUGCCAUCGGAUGUGCCCAGAUGGGAUUAGCUUGUUGGUGGGGUAACGGCUCACCAAGGCGACGAUCCCUAGCUGGUCUGAGAGGAUGACCAGCCACACUGGAACUGAGACACGGUCCAGACUCCUACGGGAGGCAGCAGUGGGGAAUAUUGCACAAUGGGCGCAAGCCUGAUGCAGCCAUGCCGCGUGUAUGAAGAAGGCCUUCGGGUUGUAAAGUACUUUCAGCGGGGAGGAAGGGAGUAAAGUUAAUACCUUUGCUCAUUGACGUUACCCGCAGAAGAAGCACCGGCUAACUCCGUGCCAGCAGCCGCGGUAAUACGGAGGGUGCAAGCGUUAAUCGGAAUUACUGGGCGUAAAGCGCACGCAGGCGGUUUGUUAAGUCAGAUGUGAAAUCCCCGGGCUCAACCUGGGAACUGCAUCUGAUACUGGCAAGCUUGAGUCUCGUAGAGGGGGGUAGAAUUCCAGGUGUAGCGGUGAAAUGCGUAGAGAUCUGGAGGAAUACCGGUGGCGAAGGCGGCCCCCUGGACGAAGACUGACGCUCAGGUGCGAAAGCGUGGGGAGCAAACAGGAUUAGAUACCCUGGUAGUCCACGCCGUAAACGAUGUCGACUUGGAGGUUGUGCCCUUGAGGCGUGGCUUCCGGAGCUAACGCGUUAAGUCGACCGCCUGGGGAGUACGGCCGCAAGGUUAAAACUCAAAUGAAUUGACGGGGGCCCGCACAAGCGGUGGAGCAUGUGGUUUAAUUCGAUGCAACGCGAAGAACCUUACCUGGUCUUGACAUCCACGGAAGUUUUCAGAGAUGAGAAUGUGCCUUCGGGAACCGUGAGACAGGUGCUGCAUGGCUGUCGUCAGCUCGUGUUGUGAAAUGUUGGGUUAAGUCCCGCAACGAGCGCAACCCUUAUCCUUUGUUGCCAGCGGUCCGGCCGGGAACUCAAAGGAGACUGCCAGUGAUAAACUGGAGGAAGGUGGGGAUGACGUCAAGUCAUCAUGGCCCUUACGACCAGGGCUACACACGUGCUACAAUGGCGCAUACAAAGAGAAGCGACCUCGCGAGAGCAAGCGGACCUCAUAAAGUGCGUCGUAGUCCGGAUUGGAGUCUGCAACUCGACUCCAUGAAGUCGGAAUCGCUAGUAAUCGUGGAUCAGAAUGCCACGGUGAAUACGUUCCCGGGCCUUGUACACACCGCCCGUCACACCAUGGGAGUGGGUUGCAAAAGAAGUAGGUAGCUUAACCUUCGGGAGGGCGCUUACCACUUUGUGAUUCAUGACUGGGGUGAAGUCGUAACAAGGUAGCCGUAA
RNAcentral lists this ribosomal RNA (1506 nucleotides) under uncultured Shigella sp. RNAcentral describes it as "bacterial SSU rRNA". It matches the Rfam family "Bacterial small subunit ribosomal RNA". Lineage: Bacteria; Pseudomonadati; Pseudomonadota; Gammaproteobacteria; Enterobacterales; Enterobacteriaceae. The record is from RNAcentral.